This 164-nucleotide non-coding RNA is filed under the name human gut metagenome. Its description in RNAcentral is "FMN riboswitch (RFN element)". It matches the Rfam family "FMN riboswitch aptamer (RFN element)". Rfam says of the family: The RFN element is a highly conserved domain that is found frequently in the 5'-untranslated regions of prokaryotic mRNAs that encode for flavin mononucleotide (FMN) biosynthesis and transport proteins. This element is a metabolite-dependent riboswitch that directly binds FMN in the absence of proteins. The record is from RNAcentral.
GUUUCGGGGCGGGGUGAAAUUCCCCACCGACGGUAAUGCGGCAAUGUUUUGGAAUGUUGUGCUGUGAUUUCAUGCGGCGCCUUUCCUUUGCAGCCGACGAGCCCGUGAGCGAAAGCCGAUUUGGUGAGAUUCCAAAGCCGACGGUACAGUCCGGAUGAGAGAAA